UGGGGAAUAUUGCACAAUGGGCGCAAGCCUGAUGCAGCCAUGCCGCGUGUAUGAAGAAGGCCUUCGGGUUGUAAAGUACUUUCAGCGAGGAGGAGACGUAGGUUAAUAACCUUAGCGAUUGACGUUACUCGCAGAAGAAGCACCGGCUAACUCCGUGCCAGCAGCCGCGGUAAUACGGAGGGUGCAAGCGUUAAUCGGAAUUACUGGGCGUAAAGCGCACGCAGGCGGUCUGUUAAGUCAGAUGUGAAAUCCCGGCU
RNAcentral lists this ribosomal RNA (257 nucleotides) under uncultured Raoultella sp. RNAcentral's name for it is "partial 16S ribosomal RNA". It matches the Rfam family "Bacterial small subunit ribosomal RNA", at positions 355 to 607 of the family's 1533-position model. Lineage: Bacteria; Pseudomonadati; Pseudomonadota; Gammaproteobacteria; Enterobacterales; Enterobacteriaceae. The record is from RNAcentral.